This 253-nucleotide ribosomal RNA is filed under the name uncultured bacterium. RNAcentral describes it as "partial 16S ribosomal RNA". It matches the Rfam family "Bacterial small subunit ribosomal RNA", at positions 524 to 776 of the family's 1533-position model. The record is from RNAcentral.
UACGGGGGGUGCAAGCGUUACUCGGAAUCAUUGGGCGUAAAGGGCGCGUAGGCGGCUUGGUAAGUCAGAUGUGAAAGCCCGGGGCUCAACCCCGGAAGUGCAUUUGAUACUGCUUGGCUUGAGUAUGGGAGAGGGAAGUGGAAUUCCUGGUGUAGAGGUGAAAUUCGUAGAUAUCAGGAGGAACACCGGUGGCGAAGGCGACUUCCUGGACCAAUACUGACGCUGAGGCGCGAAGGCGUGGGGAGCAAACAGG